This 507-nucleotide ribosomal RNA is filed under the name uncultured bacterium. Its description in RNAcentral is "partial 16S ribosomal RNA". The record is from RNAcentral.
GGAGUUAGCCGGUGCUUCUUAUGUGAGUGAUGUCCUUCCUGCCGGCUAUUAACCCGCAGGCCUUCUUCCUCACUGAAAGUGCUUUACAACCCGAAGGCCUUCUUCACACACGCGGCAUGGCUGGAUCAGGGUUGCCCCCAUUGUCCAAUAUUCCCCACUGCUGCCUCCCGUAGGAGUCUGGGCCGUGUCUCAGUCCCAGUGUGGCUGAUCAUCCUCUCAGACCAGCUACGGAUCGUCGCCUUGGUGAGCCGUUACCUCACCAACCAGCUAAUCCGACAUAGGCUCAUCCGAUAGCGCGAGGCCCGAAGGUCCCCCGCUUUCCCCCGUAGGGCGUAUGCGGUAUUAGCCUGGGUUUCCCCAGGUUAUCCCCCACUACCGGGCAGAUUCCUAUGCAUUACUCACCCGUCCGCCGCUCGCCACCAGGGAGCAAGCUCCCCGUGCUGCCGCUCGACUUGCAUGUGUUAGGCCUGCCGCCAGCGUUCAAUCUGAGCCAUGAUCAAACUCUGA